GCCUGGCCUCGACAAGCUGGGGCAGGUUGUGUGCAUGCCUGCCUUCACCAUACUAAAAGGAGAGAAACAACUGCAGGAGGCUGGGAGAAAGGAGAGAUACUACUACUGGAGGCUGGGAGAAGGAGAGAUACUACUACUGGAGGCUGGUAGAAAGGAGAGAUACUACUACUGGAGGCUGGUUGAAAGGAGAGAUACCACUACUGGAGGCUGGGAGAAGGAGAGAUACUACUACUGGAGGCUGGUAGAAAGGAGAGAAACUACUGCUGGAGGCUGGGAGAAAGGAGAGAUACUACUGCUGGAGGCUGGGAGAAAGGAGAGAUACUACUACUGGAGGCUGGGAGAAGGAGAGAUACUACUACUACUGGAGGCUGGGAGAAAGGAGAGAUACUACUACUGCUGGAGGCUGGGAGAAAGGAGAGAUACUACUACUGCUGGAGGCUGGGAGAAAGGAGAGAUACUACUACUGCUGGAGGCUGGGAGACAGGAGAGAUACUACUGCUGGUGGCUGGGAGAAAGGAGAGAUACUACUGCUGGAGGCUGGGAGAAAGGAGAGAUACUACUGUAAAGUCCAUACCAGUGUGAUGCAUUACAUGCUCAGUCUACACUGGUAAAUCCCCGUCUCUACCCCUCCCCCCAUUAUCCUAAACACAAUAGCAACACUAUACUACAGACCUACUCUCCUAUCUCUCUCUACACCCCCCCCACACACAAUAUCAACACUAUACUGUAGACCUACUCUCCCCUCUCUCUCU
Oncorhynchus tshawytscha (Chinook salmon) is the source of this 752-nucleotide long non-coding RNA. Lineage: Eukaryota; Metazoa; Chordata; Actinopteri; Salmoniformes; Salmonidae. The record is from Ensembl.